Non-coding RNA from Acanthosepion pharaonis, 112 nucleotides. The record is from the annotation of a GenBank genome assembly. NCBI's taxonomy places the organism in Eukaryota, Metazoa, Mollusca, Cephalopoda, Sepiida, Sepiidae.
UUACGGCCAUAUAACAAUGAAAGACAGGUUCCCUUACGUUCACCGAAGUUAAGCAACGUCGAGUCUGGUCAAUACCUAGAUGGGUGGCCACUUGGGAAUACCGGGUGCUAUA